UGACCAUCAGACAUAGGUGCCACUAUACCUAUGUCUGGAGCUGGACCAUGCUGUAAAUGGCUGGUCUGAAAGACAUUAGUGGGUACGUUAUGAGCAGUCCUCCGGUCGUGAUAUCUAUCAAAUCGAACGGGACCAACUGUCUAACUCAUAUGGAGACCUGCUUUCUAAUGCUAGCUAUCAAAA
Molecule: unclassified non-coding RNA, 183 nt
Filed under: uncultured Sistotrema
Lineage: Eukaryota; Fungi; Basidiomycota; Agaricomycetes; Corticiales; Corticiaceae
Description: sequence contains ITS2
Source: RNAcentral